RNAcentral lists this unclassified non-coding RNA (235 nucleotides) under Hevea brasiliensis (rubber tree). Lineage: Eukaryota; Viridiplantae; Streptophyta; Magnoliopsida; Malpighiales; Euphorbiaceae. The record is from RNAcentral.
CACAUGCACAAGCCAUACGAGUACAAUACCUCUAAUCUUAAUGUGCUUCUAAGCUCCAUUUAGAUACGUGUGUUUUUUAAAUGAGAUAUUUGAAUUUGACUCAUUCGAAACACAAAUCAAAAUUCUCAUUUCAAAUUCCCAUAUACCUAAAUGGAUCUUAUUCAUUUGCUUUCAUAUUAUUGUUUUUAAUUUAGUUUCUGCUGCUUCAUUAGGCUGCACAUUCUUUCAGCAAAGC